Camelus dromedarius (Arabian camel) is the source of this 107-nucleotide small nuclear RNA. Lineage: Eukaryota; Metazoa; Chordata; Mammalia; Artiodactyla; Camelidae. The record is from Ensembl.
GUGCUCGCUCCAGUAGCACACAGACUUGAAUUAGAAUGAUACAGAGAAGAUUCGCAUGGCCCCCGUGCAAGGAUGACACGUAAAUUCGUGAAGUGUUCCAUAUUUUU